GGGGCUGUAGCUCAGUGGUAGAGCAACACAGGCUAUAGGUGGAGGUCGCAGGUUCGAAUCCUGCUAGCGCCA
RNAcentral lists this transfer RNA (72 nucleotides) under Ephemerocybe angulata. RNAcentral's name for it is "Coprinellus angulatus tRNA". It matches the Rfam family "tRNA". From Rfam's summary of the family: Transfer RNA (tRNA) molecules are approximately 80 nucleotides in length. Their secondary structure includes four short double-helical elements and three loops (D, anti-codon, and T loops). Lineage: Eukaryota; Fungi; Basidiomycota; Agaricomycetes; Agaricales; Psathyrellaceae. The record is from Rfam by way of RNAcentral.